GAAGGAGGGAGAGAGCCGCCGUCGGGCUCCGGGAUCGGCCCAAGGGGAACGCGGAGCGCGGUGCGGCCGUCGGCGUGCGGUGCCCCGAGAGGAGGCAGGGCUCAGCCGCGGCCCGUGCCGACACCGCGCCUUCGGGUGUGGGGAACUGAGCCCAGGCGGUACGGGAGGGGAAACUCGGCUUUAAUGGAACCCGGAGGAAAAUGCACAGCAAAAAAGAGAAGGGAUGCUCUGCGGACACAGCGGUUGAGGCAGUAUUUAACCGAAGAGUUAAUUUUCAAGAAAAUAUAACAGGAGCGAGGAAUACCGACUGCAUAUUGCAUCCAAACAGUUCGCUUAAUUCACGUCUAAAAAUCAUUACAAAAUGGUUUGGGUCGGGAUGUGUGCACAGAGAUGUGCACUGAAGGGCGUUUGCCAUUGGGAAUGUUCUCGCGCGGCGCCCGGCCGCCCUCGGUCACAGCUGUGUGGCUCUCUCCAGGCUCUUGGCAGCGUCCUUCAGCUUCCCGACCAAAUCCUGCAGCUGCUCCAUGGUGCAGCUGAAGCUGAGGUCUGGCUGUGAUCCCGCGUCACUGUUCUCGGUGCUGAGGGUCAGCAGGUAGGUGGGCUGGUAGGCUCGGUGCAGCUCGUGGGUCUGGAUGCGGUACGCCAGGUGCCAGGACACAUCCGUCACGUGCGGGGGGGCCCGGCCUAUGCUCCCCAGCAGCUCCUCCAGUGCCUCCCGGUGUUUCUGGUACUCGGUGCAGAACUGCUCGAUCCGCUCCCUGUCCAGCUUGCACUCCUCCAGGCACGCGCUGAGGGCCGCGCGGUCGGCUCUCUGCCUGCCCGCCUCCAGGAUGCAGGCGGCGGCGGCGGCGUGGCACUGCUUCAGCACCGCGGGGUCAACGUCGCUCAGCUCGGGGUCGGCCACGCCGCCGCGGGGCUGCAGCACGCCUCGGAAGGCGGCGCGGAGCAGCGCGGCGUAGGCGCGGCGGGACAGGCGCCGGGGGUCGCCCAGCAGCCGGCAGCCGCCCUGCGCGUACGCCGACAGCUCCAUUGCGGCGCCGUGACCUUCGACACGCGCCCACGUGACCGCCGCCGCUGAGGCGGAGCCGUCGCGGCUGCGCCUCCCGCCCGGGGCGGCGGCGGGCGCUCGGUCGGGCCGCGGGCGCUGCGUUGCGUUGCGUUGCGGAGGUCGGACGCCGAGCGAAGCGAGCCGCCGGGUGGCUGCGGGCAAACGUGGCCGAAUACGUGCAACGUAAACACGGACGGUUCCCUUUGUGAUGUUAAAGCGCUCCCUUUCUGCACCUCAGCUCCCCGCUCGGAGCGUCGCGCGGUGGUUACACCGAGGCGGGGGGCGGUCCCGUUUCGGACGCGGGGUUCUCAGUCGGCGGGUGGAAACGUGAAUUUCCGAGCUCGGCUCCCGGCUGCGCUCGGGCGGAGCGGGAGAGGAAAUCCCGGCGCCCGCAGGAUGGGGCCCGCGGUUCCGAGGCGCGCCCCACGUGCGUCCGCUUUAGGCCUCGCGGCACCGCCAGGGCGAACGGCUCCGUUGGGCGCACGCUGCGCUGCCGGCGCGCCGCUCCGACGCUUCGGCGUAGCGAUGAGCGCCGCUGCGACGACGGACGGAGCGCCGAGCCCGGCGGACGGCAUUCCGCGGAUUUGCGUUUUGCCAGGAAGCGGCGAGGCGUGACGGCGGCAAGGUGGGCUCCGGGGCGGCCGUCCUCCGUCCCGUGGCACCGCUGUCACAUAGAGACACGACGCAGAAGAAAAGACAUAAAAUGGAGGAGAAGAAAAACCAUAAAAUGGAGGAGAGGACAAAGCUCAGAGCUGCGGGUUUACGAAGGUGCGGAGACCGCGGCUGUGAAGCAGGAUCGUAAUAAAAAAAAUGCCAGAAAUGUGCACGCGUGGCGUGGCUGCACGCCACGGACAUCUCCUCCCUGUCAUCGACAGCGGGUGGAAAUCUGUGCAUUAAAAUCUAGCUUGAAAGACAGAUUAAUCUGCCGAGGGUUCCUCACAACGCGGCACGGUCCCCAUCGCUCCUUUCAGUCACUCUCACCAGCAGCAGAUCUGGGCUUUCCCUUCCCCUGCCCCACCUCCCAGCACGGGCUCUUCUCCCCUCUCUCCCCCUCCGAAAGGAACGCGAUGCAUUCACGCUGUCAGGCUGAGCAGAUUUCCCUGCUCGUGCAGCGUUUGCACCUCCUAAACCCGGUUCAUUACGAUUUCUAAGAGGGGGGGGGGAACGUAUAUCCAAUAAAGAAACGACAAAGGAAAUUCAUUAAUGCUUGAAUAUUAAUUAAUCAGUGAAACAAACCACCCCGCUCCGUGCAGGCUGCUGUUUCUCCAGCUUGUUCUUUCAUUACUCAGAAGAAAAUAAUGCAGCCGUCCAAAGUGAAGGGCAAUCACUGUGUGUGUCAGGAGCACUAAUUCUUAACGUUUCAGAGUUGCCAUAAGCGUUCCUGAAAACUCCCAGAGCUGCAUUUUUUCCCCUGCAUAUUGGUUUUUGCUGGGUUAGAAGAUGGGAAGGUAAGGUGGUGUUUCUAGCACCGAUUUGAUGCAAAAUCGUUACUGACUUCAAAGAGAGUUUCAGCUCCAGAGCAAUGGGCUGUCCCAGGACCUGGGGUUUAGGUCAGCAGUGAGCCCACUUUACUGUAACCUAUGGAUUCUACAGAGGAAAAAAAAAUGUUUGGGUCGGAGAAGCACAUUAAGUGGCUAUUUACUACAGGUUGUAUUUCUUGCUGGAUUGAUUUCUGAAGGAAAAGCUCGAUAGUCACAUUUCAGUCCCUGAUUGAUAGUAUGAAAGCAUCAAAGAAAAGGACCGUGCAGACCCCAAAAGGCCCAGGAGAAUUCCUCACGUGUCUCUGGUACCAACGUGCAAGGCAGCAAAGAAGCUGCUGCUCUGAGCCAAGCCCUGCCGAGGUCCGCUUCUUUGCUACGGUCCUUAUAGGCAGUCCUCCUGCCCAGGGAAAAUGCAGUGCCCAACACGUCCCUCCAGAAAGAUGUUGUGCUCCCAGGUUUGUGCUGCGUGUCUGAACUGCAGGCAGUGCAUCGUUUGGCUGCAGACAGGGACUGCUCAAUAAAACGCUCGGUGUUUGCUCACAAAUAGUUCUGAUUUAAGUGAGGAGUUUGGGAAAUUAACUUUUUAAUUAAAUAUGUGGAGGAGCUCCAUUU
RNAcentral lists this long non-coding RNA (3141 nucleotides) under Gallus gallus (chicken). Lineage: Eukaryota; Metazoa; Chordata; Aves; Galliformes; Phasianidae. The record is from RNAcentral.